This 492-nucleotide ribosomal RNA is filed under the name uncultured bacterium. RNAcentral's name for it is "partial 16S ribosomal RNA". It matches the Rfam family "Bacterial small subunit ribosomal RNA", at positions 29 to 507 of the family's 1533-position model. The record is from RNAcentral.
AGUGAACGCUGGCGGUAGGCCUAACACAUGCAAGUCGAACGGCAGCACAGUAAGAGCUUGCUCUUACGGGUGGCGAGUGGCGGACGGGUGAGGAAUACAUUGGAAUCUACUUUUUCGUGGGGGAUAACGUAGGGAAACUUACGCUAAUACCGCAUACGACCUACGGGUGAAAGCAGGGGAUCUUCGGACCUUGCGCGAUUGAAUGAGCCGAUGUCGGAUUAGCUAGUUGGCGGGGUAAAGGCCCACCAAGGCGACGAUCCGUAGCUGGUCUGAGAGGAUGAUCAGCCACACUGGAACUGAGACACGGUCCAGACUCCUACGGGAGGCAGCAGUGGGGAAUAUUGGACAAUGGGCGCAAGCCUGAUCCAGCCAUACCGCGUGGGUGAAGAAGGCCUUCGGGUUGUAAAGCCCUUUUGUUGGGAAAGAAAAGCAGCAGGUUAAUACCCCGCUGUCCUGACGGUACCCAAAGAAUAAGCACCGGCUAACUUCGUG